Streptomyces sp. CB01249 is the source of this 75-nucleotide non-coding RNA. It matches the Rfam family "ASpks TB sRNA". Lineage: Bacteria; Bacillati; Actinomycetota; Actinomycetes; Kitasatosporales; Streptomycetaceae. The record is from Rfam.
CUUCAGCGAGCCCAGCCACAACGGCCGGUCCGCCGAGUGCUCCUGACCGUACGUCGCGAUCAGCGCCUGCGCCUC